AUACUCUGGUUUCUCUUUGAAUCGUAUAAAUCUUUUGCCUUUGACUAAAGAUUUCUGGGGAGAGGAACAACUCUGAGUCUUAAAGCAAUGUUCUGAGGCCUUGUUCUGACAAGGCU
Jaculus jaculus (lesser Egyptian jerboa) is the source of this 116-nucleotide small nuclear RNA. Its record names the gene U5. It matches the Rfam family "U5 spliceosomal RNA". Rfam says of the family: U5 RNA is a component of both types of known spliceosome. The precise function of this molecule is unknown, though it is known that the 5' loop is required for splice site selection and p220 binding, and that both the 3' stem-loop and the Sm site are important for Sm protein binding and cap methylation. NCBI's taxonomy places the organism in Eukaryota, Metazoa, Chordata, Mammalia, Rodentia, Dipodidae. The record is from Ensembl.